This 477-nucleotide long non-coding RNA is filed under the name Eucalyptus grandis. Its description in RNAcentral is "long non-coding RNA (EGRA_LNC003410)". The record is from RNAcentral. Lineage: Eukaryota; Viridiplantae; Streptophyta; Magnoliopsida; Myrtales; Myrtaceae.
UCCAGCACAACUUUAUCGAGCAAUUUCCCGCGAAAGCAUCAGUCAAAGACAUUGAAAAGUUCAAGAUUCGGCAAGCAACAGCACACCACCUAUUGGCCUUCGAAUCCCAUUCUCCUUCACCGAUUAGGGUAGUGCUAGGAUCGAAAUUAUAGUAGCCAUAAUAAACAUUGGUGACAUUUUGAAACUUCAAUAACAAUUGCGUCUUACCCUCCUCCAAACAUCGAAUCGUAGUGAAGCUCAUGGCCUUGGGUAAAAACCCGACAUCUGUGCCAAGAGGAUUGCACUUACCACCGUGACAAACACUCCUGUAUUCCAAGUCAAAGGCCGAAUUCCACUUCAAGGCUGAGCACAAACCUUGCCCUAGUUUCUCACUAGACAAAUUAUCUCCUCCACUAUCAUCAAAUUUAUCAAAAGACCCACUCCCUCCCUUCUUCUCUAUCAAACUAUACUCAUAAUUGACACUUCCACUACUCAAAG